This 601-nucleotide ribosomal RNA is filed under the name Vibrio caribbeanicus ATCC BAA-2122. RNAcentral's name for it is "bacterial SSU rRNA". It matches the Rfam family "Bacterial small subunit ribosomal RNA", at positions 73 to 669 of the family's 1533-position model. Lineage: Bacteria; Pseudomonadati; Pseudomonadota; Gammaproteobacteria; Vibrionales; Vibrionaceae. The record is from RNAcentral.
UCGGGGAACGAUAACGGCGUCGAGCGGCGGACGGGUGAGUAAUGCCUGGGAAAUUGCCCUGAUGUGGGGGAUAACCAUUGGAAACGAUGGCUAAUACCGCAUAAUAGCUUCGGCUCAAAGAGGGGGACCUUCGGGCCUCUCGCGUCAGGAUAUGCCCAGGUGGGAUUAGCUAGUUGGUGAGGUAAGGGCUCACCAAGGCGACGAUCCCUAGCUGGUCUGAGAGGAUGAUCAGCCACACUGGAACUGAGACACGGUCCAGACUCCUACGGGAGGCAGCAGUGGGGAAUAUUGCACAAUGGGCGCAAGCCUGAUGCAGCCAUGCCGCGUGUAUGAAGAAGGCCUUCGGGUUGUAAAGUACUUUCAGCAGUGAGGAAGGUGGUGUGCUUAAUACGCACAUCAUUUGACGUUAGCUGCAGAAGAAGCACCGGCUAACUCCGUGCCAGCAGCCGCGGUAAUACGGAGGGUGCGAGCGUUAAUCGGAAUUACUGGGCGUAAAGCGCAUGCAGGUGGUUUGUUAAGUCAGAUGUGAAAGCCCGGGGCUCAACCUCGGAAUUGCAUUUGAAACUGACAGACUAGAGUACUGUAGAGGGGGGUAGAAUUU